GACGAACGCUGGCGACGUGCCUAAUACAUGCAAGUAGAACGCUGAAGGGAGAGCUUGCUCUUCUGGAUGAGUUGCGAACGGGUGAGUAACGCGUAGGUAACCUGCCUGGUAGCGGGGGAUAACUAUUGGAAACGAUAGCUAAUACCGCAUAACAUUGACUAUUGCAUGAUAGUCAAUUGAAAGGUGCAAAUGCACCACUACCAGAUGGACCUGCGUUGUAUUAGCUAGUUGGUGGGGUAACGGCUCACCAAGGCGACGAUACAUAGCCGACCUGAGAGGGUGAUCGGCCACACUGGGACUGAGACACGGCCCAGACUCCUACGGGAGGCAGCAGUAGGGAAUCUUCGGCAAUGGACGGAAGUCUGACCGAGCAACGCCGCGUGAGUGAAGAAGGUUUUCGGAUCGUAAAGCUCUGUUGUAAGAGAAGAACGAGUGUGAGAGUGGAAAGUUCACACUGUGACG
This 462-nucleotide ribosomal RNA is filed under the name Streptococcus cristatus. RNAcentral describes it as "bacterial SSU rRNA". It matches the Rfam family "Bacterial small subunit ribosomal RNA", at positions 28 to 474 of the family's 1533-position model. Lineage: Bacteria; Bacillati; Bacillota; Bacilli; Lactobacillales; Streptococcaceae. The record is from RNAcentral.